Molecule: ribosomal RNA, 550 nt
Filed under: uncultured bacterium
Lineage: Bacteria
Description: bacterial SSU rRNA
Rfam family: Bacterial small subunit ribosomal RNA
Source: RNAcentral
UAGGGAAUCUUCCACAAUGGGCGAAAGCCUGAUGGAGCAACGCCGCGUGUGUGAUGAAGGCUUUAGGGUCGUAAAGCACUGUUGUAUGGGAAGAAAUGCUAGAAUAGGGAAUGGUUCUAGUUCGACGGUACCAUACCAGAAAGGGACGGCUAAAUACGUGCCAGCAGCCGCGGUAAUACGUAUGUCCCGAGCGUUAUCCGGAUUUAUUGGGCGUAAAGCGAGCGCAGACGGUUGAUUAAGUCUGAUGUGAAAGCCCGGAGCUCAACUCCGGAAUGGCAUUGGAAACUGGUUAACUUGAGUGUUGUAGAGGUAAGUGGAACUCCAUGUGUAGCGGUGGAAUGCGUAGAUAUAUGGAAGAACACCAGUGGCGAAGGCGGCUUACUGGACAACAACUGACGUUGAGGCUCGAAAGUGUGGGUAGCAAACAGGAUUAGAUACCCUGGUAGUCCACACCGUAAACGAUGAAUACUAGGUGUUAGGAGGUUUCCGCCUCUUAGUGCCGAAGCUAACGCAUUAAGUAUUCCGCCUGGGGAGUACGACCGCAAGGUUG